GUUGCUCUUUUGCUUCUAUAGAUGAUUGGCUUUUUCAUGUUUAUAUUCUGAACUGCUUGUUGAAUAUAUAUAAAUUUGUCUCAGGUGUUGCACUAGGGCACAUUAUUUUGUCCUUGCUUAUUUACCCCCACGCGCGCGCACACACCCAAAAAAAAAGAUUCAUUAUGAACUGUUGGUCACAUUUAGGGUGAUCCAUCUAUCUUAUGAAAUUUAUGUUGCCUCCUAUUGUUUGUACUUUUGUGUGAGUUCAUUUUUACUAAGCGUGGGAAAGGUCUGUUUUCAUAGAUAUUGCUUUGUAGAAAUUUGAAUGAACCAGAAUCACACAGUUUAUAUCUAAGGCCUUGUUUAGUUCCCAAAAAAUUUUGCAAAAUUUUUCAGAUUCCCCGUCACAUCGAAUCUUUAGACGCAUGCAUGGAAUAUUAAAUAUAGACGAAAAUAAAAACUAAUUACAUAGUUUGGUCGGAAUUGAUGAGAUGAAUCUUUUGAGCCUAGUUAAUCAAUGAUUGGACAAUAUUUGUCACAAACAAAAGAAAGUGCUACAGUACCUGUUUUGCAAAAUUUUUUGGAACUAAACAAGGCCUAAGAUCAUUUGUGAUAUUUUUUUUUUAUCACCUGAUGUUCUAACCUAUUUUUGUUAUGAAUAUUAGAAAACUAUCGUUUGUUAGCUUAGGCUUUGUAUUGAUAUAUAUCUACAACUGAUUGAUCCUCAAUGAUAUGCAUUUUCAAUCAUCAGUAUAUAUUCAUCUAAUCAUGCUAUUGUAAUGAGUUCAGCACCAGAAGCUUUAGGAUGAUUACUGUGCUUUAUAUUUUGGUCAGAAAGGGCAACACGUGUGCUCUUAUUCUAAUCAGUGUUUUUAAGGCGUCGCCUAGGCGACAAGGCACUCGCAGGGAGUAAGGCGUCCCCGACGCCUAGCCAAAAGUAGUGAGAUAUCCAUGGAGACUGGAAGGAAAACGAUAGGGAAAGGCCGUGCAGCUGCCUCCUCGCUCAUCCCCACCAAAUCUGACGCUGCCUAGGUCAUCUGCGAUGGAGGUAGUGUUUGAUCGAGAUGGGGGAUCUGAGGGAGCAGCAGCAAGAGGUAGGGAAGGAGCGGAUGGCAGGCUGAGCACGCGCAACCAAGAGCAGCAUGAGGGAGGGAGGGAGGGUGGCGCUGCACCUGUGUGAGCCAUGAGGGAGGAGAUGCUGCGGCGCUACGCCUGUGUGAAGGAGAAGCAGAGAGCUCCCAGGCAGCAUGAAGGAGAAGCA
This 1243-nucleotide long non-coding RNA is filed under the name Sorghum bicolor (sorghum). RNAcentral's name for it is "long non-coding RNA (SBIC_LNC016597)". The record is from RNAcentral. Lineage: Eukaryota; Viridiplantae; Streptophyta; Magnoliopsida; Poales; Poaceae.